Molecule: ribosomal RNA, 554 nt
Filed under: uncultured bacterium
Lineage: Bacteria
Description: bacterial SSU rRNA
Rfam family: Bacterial small subunit ribosomal RNA
Source: RNAcentral
AGAAUAAGCACCCCGCCAAAUUUGGUGCCGCCACCGCGGUAUAUACGGAAGGGGGCCAGCGUUACUCGGAAAUACUGGGCGGUAAGCGGUGCGUAGGCGUGUUUGUUAAAGUCUGUCGUUAAAAGCCCUGGGCUCAACCUGGGGAAUGGGCGAUGGGAUACUGGCAAGCUAGAGUACGGUAGAGGAUGGUGGAAUUCCCGGUGUAGCGGUGAAAUGCGUAGAGAUCGGGAGGAACACCCGUGGCGAAGGCGGCCAUCUGGACCAGUACUGACGCUGAGGCACGAAAGCGUGGGGAGCAAACAGGAUUAGAUACCCUGGUAGUCCACGCCCUAAACGAUGCGACCUUGAUGUUGGGCACACUUAGGUGCUCAGUGUCGAAGCUAACGCGUUAAGUUCGCCGCCUGGAGAGUACGCCCGCAAGACUGAAACUCAAAGGAAUUGACGGGGGCCCGCACAAGCGGUGGAGUAUGUGGUUUAAUUCGAUGCAACGCGAAGAACCUUACCUGGCCUUGACAUGUCCGGAAUCCUGCAGAGAUGCGGGAGUGCCUUCGGGA